AUUAUUUUUAAAACGAUUACCUACAAGAUUUACAUAUAAAAUUCUAUCAUGUCUGCUAUAUAUAAACGAAAUGAUAUUAGAAUCCUUCAUUUUCAACUUGUUUAAAAUUACGUUUAAUGCCGUUAUAAGAAUAUACAACAUUAUAUAAUUUUACUUGGGCGUCAUGGACACUUGAGAAGGGCAUUCUUACAUCGUCCAUAUUUUUAACUUCGUGUCGAAAUGCUUUUUCAGCUUUUUGUCUUUCUGCAAGAGACAUACUUAGCCAUUCUUCUUUGCUAAAUAAAUCUUCGAAUCGAAAAUCAAAUGCGGUUCUUUUACUUUCUGCUCUUAAUGCUAAAACACGCUCAUGAUAUGUCACGUUUUAUUCCUCCCUCUAAUCAUUCAAUCGAAUGAUAAAUCACAGUAUUAACUUUAUUACUAAUAUAAUGUUUUUACAAUAAAGAAGUGACGAUUUUUCAACAUUUUUAAAAAUAAAAAAUAUAAGCAACGAUUAAUUGUAUGUUUCGAAUGGCUUGUAAUGUAAUUU
This 526-nucleotide small nuclear RNA is filed under the name Staphylococcus aureus. Its description in RNAcentral is "SAUSA300s300". Lineage: Bacteria; Bacillati; Bacillota; Bacilli; Caryophanales; Staphylococcaceae. The record is from RNAcentral. RNAcentral also lists the same sequence under 1 other name.